This is a non-coding RNA of Caenorhabditis tropicalis, 45 nucleotides long. The record is from Rfam. NCBI's taxonomy places the organism in Eukaryota, Metazoa, Nematoda, Chromadorea, Rhabditida, Rhabditidae.
CCAACGGCCCUCUUUAGGGCCACAAAUAUACCAAAAUGAUCCAGA